GACGAACGCUGGCGGCGUGCUUAACACAUGCAAGUCGAACGGAAAGGCCCUGCUUUUGUGGGGUGCUCGAGUGGCGAACGGGUGAGUAACACGUGAGUAACCUGCCCUUGACUUUGGGAUAACUUCAGGAAACUGGGGCUAAUACCGGAUAGGAGCUCCUGCUGCAUGGUGGGGGUUGGAAAGUUUCGGCGGUUGGGGAUGGACUCGCGGCUUAUCAGCUUGUUGGUGGGGUAGUGGCUUACCAAGGCUUUGACGGGUAGCCGGCCUGGGAGGGUGACCGGCCACAUUGGGACUGAGAUACGGCCCAGACUCCUACGGGAGGCAGAAGUGGGGAAGAUUGUACAAUGGGCGGAAGCCUGAUGCAGUAACGCCGCGUGCGGGAUGACGGCCUUCGGGUUGUAAACCGCUUUCGCCUGUGACGAAGCGUGAGUGACGGUAAUGGGUAAAGAAGCACCGGCUAACUACGUG
This 468-nucleotide ribosomal RNA is filed under the name uncultured bacterium. Its description in RNAcentral is "partial 16S ribosomal RNA". It matches the Rfam family "Bacterial small subunit ribosomal RNA", at positions 28 to 507 of the family's 1533-position model. The record is from RNAcentral.